Molecule: long non-coding RNA, 1848 nt
Filed under: Callithrix jacchus (white-tufted-ear marmoset)
Lineage: Eukaryota; Metazoa; Chordata; Mammalia; Primates; Cebidae
Description: lncRNA (ENSCJAG00000087294.1)
Source: RNAcentral
GUUGCCCAAAGCCACCCAGCUAGUAAGUGAUGUGGAGACUCAUCCAACUCAUGUAAAGUCUGUGAUCUUCACCACAGCAUCUGUGUUCCUGUCAUUUUCUGGGACGGUGCUCCUCUUUUCGGAGUCCUCCACCAACUCACCUGUGGUUUGAAUUGGUUGGAAUAAAAUCCUAUUCAUGAAUAGGACUUUAACUGAAUAGUAAUGGCCACUUGCUUGUUUUCCAUGGCCUGGUACAUAGCAGAGGACUGUCCGUGUCUGUGAGAACCAGAGGACCUUCGGGAGAGAAAUCAGCCACUGCUACACCCCAGCCCAGUAGGAGGGAGCCAGGCUGCUGACAAAGGGACCUCACGCUCCUCCCUCACAUUGCCUGGACCAGCUGGCAGCCCGCUGGGAUGGCUUCAGGCAGCCUCCCCAGCAAGGAGGAGAGGGAUGGAGGGCUGGCUGGAGGAGCACAUGGGGAGCACUCCUCAAAUGCUUCCUAGAGGUCAUGCAGCCAGUGCCAGAACCAGUUCCUAUUAACCCAGAGGAAGAGACUUGUGGCAGUGGGGACAGCGUCACUUUGUCUUUCAGGUCACUCUGCUGCAGGGUCCUCACUCCAGCUUUCUCACCAAUCCUCCCCCUACACCAAAAGAUCAUCUCUGGGUUCAGGCAAUUCUCCUGCCUCAGCCUCCCGAGUAGCUGGGAUUACAGGCACGCGCUACCAUGCCCAGCUAAUUUUUUGUAUUUUUAGUAGAGACAGGGUUUCACCAUGUUGACCAGGAUGGUCUCGAUCUCUUGACCUUGUGAUCCGCCUGCCUCGGGCUCCCAAAGUGCUGGGAUUAUAGUCGUGAGCCACAGCGCCCGGCCUAAUUUUUGUAUUUUUAAUAGAGGUGGGGUUUUACCAUGUUGGCCAGGCUGGUCUGGAACUCCUGACCUCAAGUGAUCCACCCACCUUGGCCUCCCAAAGUGCUGAGAUUAUAGUGUGAGCCACCUCGCCCAGCCUGAACUUGCUAUUUAUUCCUGUCUUUAUUAUCCCUAUUUAUUAUAUUUGUCUUUAUUUGCACUAGGAUGCAAACUUGAGCGUCUCUGCCUUACAAUUGUUUUCUGAGCACCUAGCGCAGUGCCUGGCCCUCAGCAAGCCCACAGUAAGCUGUGGAAUGAAUGAGUUAUCAGUCGACACCAUCCUGCUUCUAGGUGCUUCUCCUGUGUCAGAGCAUCUCACCAAAAUGAAAACAAUGACGCACAGGGUCACCAUUCAGCCCCACCCACCAGCUCAAGGAUAAUAUCACAAGCUCAGAACCCAAAUGCUGUGCUUUAAACCCAGUUCUCCUUCAUAGCUGUGAGCCCUUGCGUAAGUCCCUUAACCUCUUUACAUCUUCGUUUCCUCAUCUGUAAAUCACAGGAAUAAGAAAAAUACUUACCUUGAGGCUGGGUGUGGUGGCUCAUGCCUGUAAUCCCAGCACUUUGGGAGGCCCAGGCAGGCAGAUCACGAGGUCAGGAGAUCGAGACCAUCCUGGCCAACAUGGUGAAACCUCGUCUCUCGUAAAAAUAUUUUUAAAAAAUUAACUGGGCAUGGAGGUGCAUGCCUACAGUCCCAGCUACUCGGGAGGCUGAGGCCGGAGAAUUGCUUGAACCGGGAGGCAGAGGUUGCAGUGAGCUGAGAUCACACCAUUGCACUCCAGCCUGGGUGACAGAGAGAAAAGAAAAAUAAUUAUCUGAACUGAACCUUAGAAAGACUGAAGGUAAAAUAAAUAAAUAAAUAAAAAUAAAUGAUUAUAAUAAUGACCUUGUAAGUUAUUCUGAGAAUUAAAGAUUUGCACAACAUACGUAUCACCCGACGUUUCAUAAAUUCAUGUGAAAAAAAAAUUU